UGCCCAAUCCAAUUUCAAACACGGUAUAUACCUUGUUGUUGUUUUUAUAUCAUGAUCUCUUAUUUUUCUUCUUGUUUCAUAAAAUUAUAUUCACUUAUCUUUUUUAUAUAUGGCGCAGGGCGAAAACUUUUCCAACAAUACUCUGCACCCUCUUAUGGUUCAUUCCCUGGUGGUGGAGGAUAUAAAUAUCCAUGAAAUUAUUAGCUCCAUGGUGGAGAAAAUAAUCACUCCCAACUGCUAUGUGCCUAAACUGGAGCUGCUAAUUAGUACUCAAUAUAUAGCUUAUAUGAAUUCUUUCAAAAUAAGGAGUUAUACAAAUUAUUUGUAUCUUAUUUGGCAUUGUACUAUUAGAAUAAGGAGUUUUAUUUUUGUUGUUGUUAAUCCUCCGGUUUGUAUGUAUGGUAAUAUGACCCUCUUAACCCAAGGGAAAUUUAAAAUAUAAAAGCAUCUGCCGGUUAAGAUUUUUCAUUGCCCAGUAUGCGAGAUUUCUUUUUUUUUUUUUUGGUAUUGUCAAGGAAAGCAUCUGCAUAUUAAGAUUAUUUUUUUUUACCGACAUUAAGAAUUUUGAUAAAAUUAAGACCAAAAAAAAAAGAAUUUUGAUAAAUCUAUUCUUCUAUAACAUAACGUAAUAGUACAUAGAGGGAUACAAAUUUUUGGGCUGAAUUUUUUCUUUGGUAAAAAAUACCCUUAAAUAAAACUUACUCAUAUUUUCAAUAAAAUUAAAUUAACAUAAUCUUAUGCUGUCUGUGUCUUUGAGAAAGAUAAGAUUUAUUAUAAUUUGAAAGUCACAAACAUCAAUAUCCUAUAAUUUUAAUCAAAAUUAAAAAAAAAAAACAUUUUUAUAAUUUACACGUGUUUACACGAUAAAUUAGAAAAGCGGGCAGGUGCAUGGAGUAAAAAACAUAGGAGCAAAAUGAUCCGUAUAUGAAUCAUGUGAUUGAGGAGGUAAAGUAAAAAUGAUGCGUUAGACUUCCAUGCACAGCUCAAUGGAGAAGCAGGUAAUAUUUAUAGCAGGUAAUAUUUAAUGCUGCCUCAGGACUUUGAUUAUAGCAGGAAGAACUUGGUGUUUAAUUGUGAAUGUUAGUCUCGUCAACUAUAAAAGAGUUCAACGUUGAAUAUAUAAUAAAUUUGAUUCAUAUUUUCAAUGUCCUCAAAUUAUAAGUGAAAAUAUUGUGUCACCAUAUUUUCGUGGUUCGACAAUAAACAAGUUUAAUAUUGAAUAUAUAAAAAGUUUUUUUUUUUUUUUUUACAAAUAAAUAUAUAAGAAAGAUAACUUUUAUUUUUAAUGCCUUAAAAUUUUAAAUAAAAUUAUAAAGUUAUGAUCUUUGUAAUUUUAGAUCAUUAAUUUAUUGUAUCUCGUUGAGCCACAACAAUUUGCUUGAGAAAAGUCAUGGUAAUUUUAGACCAACACACUCAAGUUGAAGACUUUUAUGUUGUAUUGACCUUUUCAACUUAAAAGUGACAUAAUCUACAACUCAUCCUCGUUUACUUUUAUUAGGCUAACAUCAUCAAACUUUGACAAAAAAUACAAAUCACGAUCAACAAAUAUAUCAGUUCAUUUGCUUUGACCUUAAAGUUUACAGCAAUGUAUGUAUGGUUUGAGAUUGAUUUCAUCUUUGAGCAAUAUUAGUCAUACCUUGUGUUGUUGACAUUGCCAAGCUAGCUUGUUUUAUUUGGUCCAAUGCUCUUUUUCUCAUGUCAAAAAUCAUACAACAAGCUCUUCAACCAUAUUGCAUUUUACUCAUUCAAAAACGAUGUGUGAUUUAACAACUCACACUUAAAAUCAAAAUAAAUGAGUAUAAGUUGUUUAAAAAGAAGAAAAGUUGUUUGAGAAAAAAAAAUUUCAAUUUUAUAUGAUGUUUUACAAUUUCAAUUAAGUAUUACUUAAUUUUAACUAGUAACAAUUUUUUAACAAUUUUUUUGUUACUAUGAUAUAGAUAUGGAGUUUCCGUCGUUGUUUAAUAGUGACUAAUCUCGGACAAGAAACUUGUGACGCACAUAAGAUGGACUAUCUUCUUCCAACCAAAUUUUUUCUAUACGUAUGACUCAAGAAUCAAACUCUUGUCCACGUACUUAAACGGUUCUAGUACUAUAUCACUUCAUUAAUCUAUUGUUGAUCUAGUAACAUAUUUUUAUCAAACGUGGCGUGUCGAUCUCUUUUGUCCUAAACCACUAGUAUGUUGUAUCUUGUUGAUUUAGAUAAAUUUCAAUCAAUUCUUAUAAACAUUCAUUUGAUCGUCGUGCCUAGACGCGACAUGUCGUCGUGCCUAGGCGCCACAUACAUGGCGAAACACAGUCCUGCUUUGCUUGACUAAACUCAUAGCAAUUUUAGACAAACACACAAGUUGGAGAUUUUUUGUUGCAUUGACCUUUUCAAAUUAAAAGCGAGAUAAAUAUAUACAACUCGUUGAUCACUCGUUUUAGGCCAACAUCAUCUAACUUGGACAAAAAAAUACAAAUCACGAUCAACACACAUUACAAUUUCUUUACUUUUGACCCUGAAGUUUACAACAAUGUAUGUAUGGUUUGAGAUUAGUUUAAUCUGUUAGCAAUAUUAGUCGUACCUUCUGCUGUUGACUUUCCAACUAGUUUGUUUUUAUGAUUGGCUAUUUGGUCCAAUAGUAUGAUUCAUUGCGUUUUUAAACGGUUCAAUUAUAUGAGUAGUUGUUGACACAGUUUAUUUAGAACUUUUAUUUAAUUCCAUGUGACAUGCUAUAUCCCAUUGAUUAAUUACUCGGGUCACUGUUAAUUGUAAUGUAUUUGAGGAAGAAUUAGUCAGCUAUGGAAUGAUCACACGCUUCCAAACAUCAUGUUUCUCUAUAAAUACAUAUUCUUCAAGUGAUAUUAUGUACUUCUCAUCCUAAACUUGCAAUUAAACUACAUACUGCAUACAUAGAUUUUAUUUUUUUGCUAGAAAUGGCGCCUAUCUUCAAUGCCUCCAAAUUGAAGUCAUUUGUUAAUCAUUUAGCAUUACUUUUAUUACUUAUCAUGUCCUCUAUGAUUGUUAGUUCUGCCCAAUCCAAUUUCAAACACGGUAUGUUGCUCGUUUGAUAUAUAAUACUCUAUCCAUUCUAAAAUAAGUGACUAAUUUGAUUGUGUGUACUUUUUACCUAACCUAUUUUAACAUGUGAAGCUCCAAUACUUCAAAAUAGAUGACGUAUUAUAUCCCCUGCGUAUCCUGCACCGAUACCUGCCCGAUACUUCCUGAUACGUAUCAGAAGAGUAUCCGAAAAUUAAAUUUUAUUUUUAAAAAAAAUAAUUAUCCGAUACGUAUCAGGAGAGUAUCCGAUAAUUAUCCUGCACCAAUACCUGCCCCAAUACUUCCCAAUUAAUGUUAAUUAAAAUAACUUAACUCUUGAGUAUAUUGCUUCUUUUUUGAAUCGAUAUAGUAUAGCACUAACAAUAUUCCUUUUGGAUAUAGUAUAACAUUUAUAUAGAAAACAGCCUAUGAUUUAUUUUGUUUGUUAAUAUAUUUGGAUAUUAAAAAGGCUUAAUUGCACUUUUGGACCUCUAUCUUUCCAAAAGUUGCGGUUAUGGAUCCCUAACUAAUUUAAAUACAAAACAGCCCCCUAUGUUUUGAUUCUUUGGCAGUUUUGGACCCCCAAGGCAAAAAAAAAAAAAUAUUGACACGUGGCACCUCACUUAGGGUGUCACGUCAGCGCUGACCGAGUCAACAAUGGACUGGGGGUCCAAAACUGCCAAAGAAUCAAAACAUAGGGGGCUGUUUUGUAUUUAAAUUAGUUAGGGGUCCAUAACCGCAACUUUUGGAAAGAUAGGGGUCCAAAAGUGCAAUUAAGCCUAUUAAAAAAAUGGUUAUAAUUAUAUUAUACAUUAAAUUUUAUAAUUUUUUAUUAACGUAUCUCAGCCGUAUCGUAUCUUGAUUUUUGAAAUUUUCUCGUAUCGACGUAUCGGUGCAGUAUCGUAUCCGUAUCAUAUCUCGUAUCCAGGCUUCACAGAUUUUAACCAUAUUUUUCUACUAAUUAAUAAAGAUAAGUGGGAUAUGUGGUUGUUGGAUUUUUGUCCAUGAAUAAUUUUUUAAUGAUAAGUGAGAGUAAUUUAAAAGUUGUGAUAAUCAUACAUACAUGGAUUCAAAAUAUAACAAUAUACAUAUAUGCAUAUUCGAGACUUCUUGUAAUCAUGUCCCUAUUUUGAAUAUGAGGCUGAUCAUUGAUGAUUUCUAUAAAUGAAUCCAUGUUUUAUAUGAUACUCUCUUUGGUUUAUUUUUUCCUCUUCUUGUUUCAUUAAAUCAUUGACUUAAUUUUAUAUAUGGUGCAGGGAGAAAACUAUUCCAAGAAGAUGUACCCGCUUAUGGUGGAUAUCCUGGUGGUGGAGGAUAUACACCAUGAAAUUAGCGUGCCUAAACCGGUGGUGUGAUAUCUGAGUCAAAAUAAAAGUACUUGCAACAUUUCUAAAUAAGGAGUUUGUACAAAUUAUAUGUAUCGUAUUUGGCAGUACUAUUAGAAUUAUAUGGCAUGUCCAAACCAUAUGUAAAAUUACUGGAGCUUUUUUUUUUUAUAUAUAUAUUUUAUAUUAAAAAAAAGAGCUGUUUUGUAGCAGGAAUAAUUUUUAUUUGUUUAUUGAAAACAAAUAAAAAUUGGAAACAACACUGUAUACGAUAAUUUUUAUUUGUUUAUUGAUUUUUUUUGAGUAAUUGGUUUAUUGAAAAC
RNAcentral lists this long non-coding RNA (4667 nucleotides) under Medicago truncatula (barrel medic). RNAcentral's name for it is "long non-coding RNA (MTRU_LNC001064)". The stretch from base 3560 to 3727 matches the Rfam family "MIR2619 microRNA precursor family". Lineage: Eukaryota; Viridiplantae; Streptophyta; Magnoliopsida; Fabales; Fabaceae. The record is from RNAcentral.